Molecule: ribosomal RNA, 253 nt
Filed under: uncultured bacterium
Lineage: Bacteria
Description: partial 16S ribosomal RNA
Rfam family: Bacterial small subunit ribosomal RNA
Source: RNAcentral
GACAGAGGGUGCAAACGUUGUUCGGAAUUACUGGGCGUAAAGCGCGUGUAGGCUGCUUCGCAAGUCGGAUGUGAAAGCCCUGGGCUCAACCCAGGAAGUGCAUUCGAAACUGCAGAGCUGGAGUCCUGGAGAGGAAGGCGGAAUUCUCGGUGUAGAGGUGAAAUUCGUAGAUAUCGAGAGGAACACCGGUGGCGAAGGCGGCCUUCUGGACAGUGACUGACGCUGAGGCGCGAAAGCGUGGGGAGCGAACAGG